UAGGAUAUGGCGUAAUUUUGGUAACGCGUUUGUUUUGGGUACAAAAGAUUGUGGGUUCGAAUUCUGCUAUCCUAA
This 75-nucleotide transfer RNA is filed under the name Lympha mucosa. RNAcentral's name for it is "tRNA-Pro". It matches the Rfam family "tRNA". From Rfam's summary of the family: Transfer RNA (tRNA) molecules are approximately 80 nucleotides in length. Their secondary structure includes four short double-helical elements and three loops (D, anti-codon, and T loops). Further hydrogen bonds mediate the characteristic L-shaped molecular structure. tRNAs have two regions of fundamental functional importance: the anti-codon, which is responsible for specific mRNA codon recognition, and the 3' end, to which the tRNAs corresponding amino acid is attached (by aminoacyl-tRNA synthetases). tRNAs cope with the degeneracy of the genetic code in two manners: having more than one tRNA (with a specific anti-codon) for a particular amino acid; and 'wobble' base-pairing, i.e. permitting non-standard base-pairing at the 3rd anti-codon position. Lineage: Eukaryota; Rhodophyta; Florideophyceae; Batrachospermales; Batrachospermaceae. The record is from RNAcentral.